RNAcentral lists this ribosomal RNA (793 nucleotides) under uncultured Methanosarcina sp. RNAcentral describes it as "bacterial SSU rRNA". It matches the Rfam family "Archaeal small subunit ribosomal RNA", at positions 88 to 879 of the family's 1478-position model. The record is from RNAcentral. Lineage: Archaea; Methanobacteriati; Methanobacteriota; Methanomicrobia; Methanosarcinales; Methanosarcinaceae.
GCUCAGUAACACGUGGAUAACCUGCCCUUGGGACCGGGAUAACCCCGGGAAACUGGGGAUAAUACCGGAUAACGCAUAUCUGCUGGAAUGCUUUAUGCGUAAAAUGGAUUUGUCUGCCCAAGGAUGGGUCUGCGGCCUAUCAGGUAGUAGUGGGUGUAAUGUACCUACUAGCCUACGACGGGUACGGGUUGUGAGAGCAAGAGCCCGGAGAUGGAUUCUGAGACAUGAAUCCAGGCCCUACGGGGCGCAGCAGGCGCGAAAACUUUACAAUGCGGGAAACCGUGAUAAGGGGACACCGAGUGCCAGCAUCAUAUGUUGGCUGUCCAGAUGUGUAAAAUACAUCUGUUAGCAAGGGCCGGGCAAGACCGGUGCCAGCCGCCGCGGUAACACCGGCGGCCCGAGUGGUGAUCGUUAUUAUUGGGUCUAAAGGGUCCGUAGCCGGUUUGGUCAGUCCUCCGGGAAAUCUGACGGCUCAACCGUUAGGCUUUCGGUGGAUACUGCCAGACUUGGAACCGGGAGAGGUAAGGGGUACUACAGGGGUAGGAGUGAAAUCUUGUAAUCCCUGUGAGACCACCUGUGGCGAAGGCGUCUUACCAGAACGGGUUCGACGGUGAGGGACGAAAGCUGGGGGCACGAACCGGAUUAGAUACCCGGGUAGUCCCAGCCGUAAACGAUGCUCGCUUGGUGUCAGGCAUGGCGCGACCGUGUCUGGUGCCGCAGGGAAGCCGUGAAGCGAGCCACCUGGGAAGUACGGUCGCAAGGCUGAAACUUAAAGGAAUUGGCGGGGGAGCAC